GGGUUAGUAGGUUGGUCAUGCCUCUGGUAUGUACUGUUCUCACUGAUUCCUCCUUCCUGAUGAACCUUAAUGCCAUUAAGUUGGUGUUUUGGGGAAUUUGGACUGUUACUUUGAAAAAAUUAGGGUGUUUAAAGCAAGCUAACGCUUGGAUACAUUAGCAUGGAAUAAUGAAAUAGGACGUUCGAUCCUAUUUUGUUGGUUUCUAGGAUUGACGUA
This 216-nucleotide ribosomal RNA is filed under the name Campeiostachys nutans. RNAcentral describes it as "Elymus nutans partial small subunit ribosomal RNA". It matches the Rfam family "Eukaryotic small subunit ribosomal RNA", at positions 644 to 864 of the family's 1831-position model. Lineage: Eukaryota; Viridiplantae; Streptophyta; Magnoliopsida; Poales; Poaceae. The record is from RNAcentral.